UACGGGGGGGGCAAGCGUUGUUCGGAAUUAUUGGGCGUAAAGGGCUCGUAGGUGGCCAACUAAGUCGGACGUGAAAUCCCUCGGCUUAACCGGGGAACUGCGUCCGAUACUGGUUGGCUUGAGUUUGGGAGAGGGAUGCGGAAUUCCAGGUGUAGCGGUGAAAUGCGUAGAUAUCUGGAGGAACACCGGUGGCGAAGGCGGCAUCCUGGACCGGCAUUGACGCUGAGGCGCGAAAGCUAGGGGAGCAAACGGG
RNAcentral lists this ribosomal RNA (253 nucleotides) under uncultured bacterium. Its description in RNAcentral is "partial 16S ribosomal RNA". It matches the Rfam family "Bacterial small subunit ribosomal RNA", at positions 524 to 776 of the family's 1533-position model. The record is from RNAcentral.